UACGAAGGGGGCUAGCGUUGUUCGGAUUUACUGGGCAUAAAGCGCACGUAGGCGGAUCGAUCAGUCAGGGGUGAAAUCCCAGAGCUCAACUCUGGAACUGCCUUUGAUACUGUCGAUCUGGAGUAUGGAAGAGGUGAGUGGAAUUCCGAGUGUAGAGGUGAAAUUCGUAGAUAUUCGGAGGAACACCAGUGGCGAGGGCGGCUCACUGGUCCAUUACUGACGCUGAGGUGCGAAAGCGUGGGGAGCAAACAGG
This 253-nucleotide ribosomal RNA is filed under the name uncultured bacterium. Its description in RNAcentral is "partial 16S ribosomal RNA". It matches the Rfam family "Bacterial small subunit ribosomal RNA", at positions 524 to 776 of the family's 1533-position model. The record is from RNAcentral.